This 330-nucleotide ribosomal RNA is filed under the name Bodomorpha sp. Its description in RNAcentral is "SSU rRNA". The stretch from base 108 to 330 matches the Rfam family "Eukaryotic small subunit ribosomal RNA", at positions 733 to 955 of the family's 1831-position model. Lineage: Eukaryota; Cercozoa; Glissomonadida; Viridiraptoridae. The record is from RNAcentral.
GAUUUCUGAUUCGGUAUGUCUAGCCCGCCACGGUUACGUGUGUGAGUGCUGGAAUGUUACCGAUCAUCCGUUCCAGAGCACCCCUCUGCUCUUUACUGAGUUGGAGGUCAGUGUCAUCUGGAUCUUUUACUUUGAACAAAUUAGAGUGUUUCAAGCAGGCGUUGGUGCGUUGAAUACAUUAGCAUGGAAUAAUAAUUUAGGACUUCGGUUCUAUUUUGUUGGUUUCUAGGACUGAAGUAAUGAUUGAUAGGGAUAGUUGGGGGUGCUAGUAUUCAGCGGCCAGAGGUGAAAUUCUCGGAUUCGCUGAAGACUAACUUAUGCGAAAGCAUU